This 400-nucleotide ribosomal RNA is filed under the name uncultured bacterium. Its description in RNAcentral is "bacterial SSU rRNA". It matches the Rfam family "Bacterial small subunit ribosomal RNA", at positions 355 to 769 of the family's 1533-position model. The record is from RNAcentral.
UAGGGAAUUUUGCACAAUGGAGGAAACUCUGAUGCAGCGACGCCGCGUGAGUGAUGAAGGCCUUCGGGUCGUAAAGCUCUGUUCUCAGGGAAUAAAAAAAUGAAGGUACCUGAGGAGAAAGGACCGGCUAACUUCGUGCCAGCAGCCGCGGUAAGACGAGGGGUCCAAGCGUUGUUCGGAAUCAUUGGGCGUAAAGCGGGUGUAGGCGGCUCUGCAAGUCAGAAGUGAAAGCCCCAGGCUUAACCUGGGAAGUGCUUUUGAUACUGCAGAGCUUGAAUGUGGGAGAGGAUGGUGGAAUUCCAGGUGUAGUGGUGAAAUACGUAGAUAUCUGGAGGAACUCCGGUGGCGAAGGCGGCCAUCUGGCCCAACAUUGACGCUGAGACCCGAAAGCGUGGGGAUC